Molecule: ribosomal RNA, 448 nt
Filed under: uncultured bacterium
Lineage: Bacteria
Description: bacterial SSU rRNA
Rfam family: Bacterial small subunit ribosomal RNA
Source: RNAcentral
ACUCCUACGGGAGGCAGCAGCAGGGAAUCUUGCGCAAUGGGCGAAAGCCUGACGCAGCAACGCCGCGUGGGGAUGAAGGCCUUCGGGUUGUAAACCCCUUUCAGGAGGGAAGAAAUUGACGGUACCUCCAAAAGAAGGACCGGCCAACUACGUGCCAGCAGCCGCGGUAAUACGUAGGGUCCGAGCGUUAUCCGGAAUCAUUGGGCGUAAAGAGCUCGUAGGCGGUUCAGCAAGUCGGCUGUGAAAGUCCGAGGCUCAACCUCGGAAUUGCAGUCGAUACUGCUGUGACUCGAGUCCGGUAGAGGAGAAUGGAAUUCCCGGUGUAGCGGUGAAAUGCGCAGAUAUCGGGAGGAACACCAGUAGCGAAGGCGGUUCUCUGGGCCGGCACUGACGCUGAGGAGCGAAAGCGUGGGGAGCAAACAGGAUUAGAUACCCUGGUAGGCUCUGC